GAGAGACAGGUUCUCACUUUGUUCCCCAGGCUGGUCUCAGACUCCUGGCCUCAAGCAGUCCUCCCACCUUAGCCUCCCAAAGUGCUGAGAUUACAGGCGAGAGUUACCGUGCCUGGCCACUUGCAUUUUUUAUCUCUUGAAUAUUUGGGGGGCUCUGGCCAAGUCCGUGGGGCAGGACACCAAGAAGGAUAAGGCACAGCCCUGCCCAAAGAAGCUGGAAUCCACACAUGGCAACAAAAAGCCUGCAGGGGUGGAACUGCAGGCUUUAACUAUGAGCAUAUGGGGAGUUUAAAAGAUUGGGGAGCCUGGAGGGACGUGGGGGACAGGCCUAUUUGGAAGGGCCAGUGGUAAACAGCCAGACGACAAGGACCUGGCCUUCUGUACCUUCCACGUUCCCUUCUCACCUGGCCCUGCUCCGUGCCACGCAGGUGGUCCCAGCUCCACGGCCUGGCCCUGUGACCCAGCUCCAGCCUCAGUAGCCUCUCCUGUGCUCUGGUGGGCCACCCGCUCUGAAGUGACUGCCAGAAUGCGACUGGAUGGUCCUCAAGAAGCCUCUUGCCUCCUGUCCUCUGUUGGGAAGACCUUCCCUUCUUCUCCAGUCCAGGAGCCUCCGACUCAUUCUCCUGCCUCAGCACCCCUCAGCUUCCUCAGAGCACACCCUACACUGGAUGGGACCUGCUGGGCACUGCAGCCGGAGAUGUAACUGGCACCAGGAACCUCCCUCCAUCUUGUCCCUGUCCCACAGCUCUUCACCCGUGGGUGUCUUUUUGCCGACUGGUCUGAUUACUGGCGAGAAUCUGGUGAUUGGGGAUGAAAGAAGUUCGGGUCUCCUCUA
Non-coding RNA from Macaca mulatta (Rhesus monkey), 835 nucleotides. NCBI's taxonomy places the organism in Eukaryota, Metazoa, Chordata, Mammalia, Primates, Cercopithecidae. The record is from RefSeq and is a predicted model, not a curated record.